Molecule: transfer RNA, 73 nt
Filed under: Salmonella enterica subsp. enterica serovar Typhimurium str. LT2
Lineage: Bacteria; Pseudomonadati; Pseudomonadota; Gammaproteobacteria; Enterobacterales; Enterobacteriaceae
Also listed under: 1 other name
Description: tRNA-Lys
Rfam family: tRNA
About the family: Transfer RNA (tRNA) molecules are approximately 80 nucleotides in length. Their secondary structure includes four short double-helical elements and three loops (D, anti-codon, and T loops).
Source: RNAcentral
UCGGGUCGUUAGCUCAGUUGGUAGAGCAGUUGACUUUUAAUCAAUUGGUCGCAGGUUCGAAUCCUGCACGACC